CCUCCAGACUCCUACGGGAGGCAGUAGUGAGGAAUAUUGGUCAAUGGGCGAGAGCCUGAACCAGCCAAGUCGCGUGAGGGAAGACGGUCCUAUGGCUUGUAAACCUCUUUUGCCGGGGAGCAAAAAGCGGUACGUGUACCGCAUCGAGAGUACCCGGAGAAAAAGCAUCGGCUAACUCCGUGCCAGCAGCCGCGGUAAUACGGAGGAUGCGAGCGUUAUCCGGAUUUAUUGGGUUUAAAGGGUGCGCAGGGGGAAGAUAAAGUCAGGGGUAAAAUUGGGGGGCACACCCUCUCCGAGCCGUUGAAACUGGUUUUCUUGAGUGAGCGAGAAGUAUGCGGAAUGCGUGGUGUAGCGGUGAAAUGCAUAGAUAUCACGCAGAACUCCGAUUGCGAAGGCAGCAUACCGGCGCUCAACUGACGCUCAUGCACGAAAGUGUGGGUAUCGAACAGGAUUAGAUCCCCUUGUA
Molecule: ribosomal RNA, 466 nt
Filed under: uncultured bacterium
Lineage: Bacteria
Description: bacterial SSU rRNA
Rfam family: Bacterial small subunit ribosomal RNA
Source: RNAcentral